This 1528-nucleotide long non-coding RNA is filed under the name Helianthus annuus (common sunflower). Lineage: Eukaryota; Viridiplantae; Streptophyta; Magnoliopsida; Asterales; Asteraceae. The record is from RNAcentral.
GCUUUCAAUUUGCGUUUUUAACCCCAAAGAAUAAAGAAAACAGGGGUCACACGUAUCAAACGAGUCAAGAACUGCAAUAGGAGUGACUCUCGAAACAUGGAAGACAAAUAUUAAAUGUUUAUCCGUCACAUGAACCCACCACGAGGGCAACGAAUCAUCGUUGCGGUUUAUGGGACGGCCUCUUUAGUUUCAGGCUAAAAAUAAAUUAUGAAGAAGGAUGUUUGUCGUUUAUGUAUAUAUGCCAAGGCCACAAUCAAAGGUGGGGUUGAAAUUAUGUACAAAAAGGAUGCUAUCGUUCCUAAAAAUGUUCCGCAUGCAUUCUGGGAAAGAGCUAAAGUUUGAUCUUUUAUAUUUUUUUAUUUUGUUUGAUUGUUUCAUAUAUAUAGGCUUUUGCUCAUCGCCACUUUUAUAUACAGAUACGAUGCAGCGAACGAGAUAGCUUCUCCAUAUUCAGUCUUGACAUGUUCAUUGAAUCGGGCGAACUGGGCGAGCAUAUAACAUAGGUCAAUAUGUUUCAAUCUUUUUUAUUAAAAAAAUUGGUGAGAAAUAGUUGAGUUAGCUAAAGAACCUGAUGGCAACGUACAUCAAGAUCAUAUAUACAGGAUAGCUUGCUUGGCUGAGAUGACCAGCACCACGUGAACCCCCCGUCGCAUCCCUUUGUCUAAAGAUUUGUACUCUUGUCCAACACGAUUUAUUCUUUUGCUUGACAACAGUUGCUCUCUCUGGCACAAGCUGGAUAUGACAUAACUGCAGAUUUACUUAGAACUACAGAUGAUGUUGAGCUUUUGGAACCUCCAGUGAUGGAAGGUUUGGAUUUGCUUUUGGCGAAGCAUAAUGGUUCAAGAAACAAUGGUGUCCCUGAAACAAACGGUGUUUUGGCAGGGCAGCCCGUGCCAGCAAAGAGUCUAUUUGGUUGAAGGUGGUGAUCAUUGUGGUCUGAUUAAAGAAGGAUAUGAUGGCUAAUUCUUAGUGGAACGUAUAUUUGAUUGAAAAAUAUGUGAUUUUUAAGCUCCAGCCUUCAUCUUCAUUGACCAACGACGGCUUCGACAAAGCACCACCGUAACCACCGGACACACCACCGUCAUGGUCCACAACCCCAUCCCCACCCAUCUUCUCAUCUUCUCCGGCGACACUCCUCUGUCCGUUCCUUUCGUCUCCGGCUAAAACACCACCUCCAUCCCAUUGUUCUCUGGCGAAGCACUCCCCUUCCCUCCUUUUUUACGGCCAACCAAUUCUUUUGGCGCCCAUUAAAUCACUUCACUGCCACCAGGUGGUGGACUUCAACCGGCAAGAUAACAUCCAUCGGAUUUGCAGGUCCCUUAAUUGCCAUCGCAGGUCACUUUACAACAUUCGUGGAUUUGGAGGUCUUUUCAUUGCCAUUGGAUUUGCAACGUCCACCGAACAAAGUACAUCUUGAUUGGUUUUACUGGGUUUUGGCAUGUUUGAGCUAGUUCAGUUUGGUUUUGUUUUGUCUAUAAUUGUUAUAUUAUCCAUCAUAUCUAUAAACAAUUUUACAAAAUCAAAUUCA